AGAAAUACAACUUUCAACAACGGAUCUCUUGGCUCUCGCAUCGAUGAAGAACGCAGCGAAAUGCGAUAAGUAAUGUGAAUUGCAGAAUUCAGUGAAUCAUCGAAUCUUUGAACGCACCUUGCGCCCCUUGGUAUUCCGAGGGGCAUGC
This 148-nucleotide ribosomal RNA is filed under the name Sanghuangporus baumii. RNAcentral's name for it is "5.8S ribosomal RNA". It matches the Rfam family "5.8S ribosomal RNA". From Rfam's summary of the family: 5.8S ribosomal RNA (5.8S rRNA) is a component of the large subunit of the eukaryotic ribosome. It is transcribed by RNA polymerase I as part of the 45S precursor that also contains 18S and 28S rRNA. Functionally, it is thought that 5.8S rRNA may be involved in ribosome translocation. The record is from RNAcentral. Lineage: Eukaryota; Fungi; Basidiomycota; Agaricomycetes; Hymenochaetales; Hymenochaetaceae.